UGCAGUCGAGCGGCAGCGGAAGUAGCUUGUUACUUUGCCGGCGAGCGGCGGACGGGUGAGUAAUGUCUGGGAAACUGCCUGAUGGAGGGGGAUAACUACUGGAAACGGUAUCUAAUACCGCAUAACGUCGCAAGACCAAAGAGGGGGACCUUCGGGCCUCUUGCCAUCAGAUGUGCCCAGAUGGGAUUAGCUUGUAGGUGGGGUAACGGCUCAUCUGGGCCACUAUCCCUAGCUGGUCUGAGAGGAUGACCAGCCACUGUGGAACUGACACCCUCCCCACACUCCUACGGGAGGCCGCUGUGGGGAAUAUUGCACUAUGCGCGCGAGCCUGAUGCAGCCAUGCCGCGUGUAUGAAGAAGGCCUUCGGGUUGUAAAGUACUUUCAGCGGGGAAGAAGGUGUUGAGGUUAAUAACCUCAGCGAUUGACGUUACCCGCAGAAAAAGCAUCGGCUAACUCCGUGCUGGAUGCCGCGGUUAUACAGAGGGUGCAAGCGUUUAUCGGAAUUACUGAGCGUAUCGCGCGCGCGUGCGGUCUCUCGUCUCAGAUGUGAAAUCCCCGGGCUCAACCUGGGAUCUGCAUUCGAAACUGGUAAGCUAGAGUCUUGUAGAGGGGGGUAAAAUUCGGGGUAUCGCGGAGAAGACAUAGAUAUGGGGAGAAUACCGGGGGAUAAGGUCCCCCCUUGCUACACAGACUGUCGCUCAUGUGCGACAGUGUGUGUCGCAGACGGCAUCAUAUACCCGGGUAGUCCACGCCGAUAUCUAUGUCUACGUGGAUGUGUGCCAUUAUGCGGCGCUCUAGGAGAUAUGCCUGACUA
This 814-nucleotide ribosomal RNA is filed under the name Enterobacter mori. Its description in RNAcentral is "bacterial SSU rRNA". It matches the Rfam family "Bacterial small subunit ribosomal RNA", at positions 56 to 862 of the family's 1533-position model. Lineage: Bacteria; Pseudomonadati; Pseudomonadota; Gammaproteobacteria; Enterobacterales; Enterobacteriaceae. The record is from RNAcentral.